Long non-coding RNA from Zophobas morio, 2068 nucleotides. RefSeq lists it as uncharacterized. The record is from RefSeq and is a predicted model, not a curated record. NCBI's taxonomy places the organism in Eukaryota, Metazoa, Arthropoda, Insecta, Coleoptera, Tenebrionidae. The transcript is spliced from 2 exons.
GCACGUUGUAAUGUAGAUUUCUUUUCUGUCAGUUAUGCGCAUAAUGCAUGUUUGUCAGCCAUUGGUGAAAACUGAAAAACAUUCUGUUCAAAACCUUUAGAGACAGUGUUAUUUCGUUUGGUAACAUUUUUUUGUUUCACUUUUAAUAUGAAUUUUGAACCCGCAGAUUUUACGAAAGAUGUGUCAUUGCCUAGUAGAAGUACGAAUCUCCAACCGCGAGGUAACCAGUAUCAAAGCCCUUUACUCCAAAACAACAAACCAAACAACUUUAAUAAAAAUUUUUCUUCCAAGACGAACAACAAACCAAACUCACACUUCAAUGGUGCAAUUCAUAAUAGACUAGGGAACAGAAAUUCUUAUGCAAAUAAUAAUAUGGACAAUGCCAUGUCAAAUAAUGAUAGAAAUUUCAACAGGAAGAGGAAAAAUCCAGAUGGGACGCCAGGUCCUAUGCGAAAAUGGAACAGAAAUAAAUUUUAUAAUAAUUCAAAUAAUAAUAAUCAGCACAACAAUUCAGCGCAAAAUCGUUUGAAUCGCAUUAGGAGCAGCAAUCAGUAUUUGAAUUUGAUUCCAAAGGUAGAGACAGAAAAUUCAUAUGAUCAGCCUGACGUCAGUAAUAUUAAUGAUUCACAAGAGUUUGAUGCACCAGACAUUACUGUAGAAGUGAUAAAUCACGCUGCUCAGCCCAAGGAAGAAUUGAGUCCUGUUCGUUUUAAAAUGUUGUUGGACCCAAAAACUCAGGCUGCGAUAAAAGUUAUUCAACAAAAACGAAAAGAUAAACAGGUUAUUUUUCCUUUUCCUGUCACUCCUAACACGACUGGAAUUUCAUUGCAUGAACGCUUUACAGUCCUGUAAUUUGUUUUGUAUUAAAAACUCUUUCACCUGUAAGUAUAGACUUCGUAUUUUAGAGGUACAUUUUUGUAAUAUGUAGCGCUUAAAAACGACGCUGGACAAUUAUUAUUCUUAACUUUGAAAAGUGUUUUAGUUAUGACUGCUUUUAAUUAUUUUUGUUUGUUUAAUAAAUAGAGAAUAAUUAUUGUUUUUCUUGAAAUAUUCAUUUUUAUAAAAUGUGUGAUUGGGUAUUGUUUCCACAUUAGUUGGAGAAAAAGCAGAUUUUAUUACCAGAAUGUGUGACACAAACUAAUUUUGUUAGAACCUAUGUGUUAAUAGUUUAAAAAAAAAUCAAUGGAUUAUCUUAAAAAAGUCUUAUGCGUUUGCCAUAGUGUCACCAUGACGUGUAUUUCUGAUAAUCUAAUGUGUUUUUAUAUUUAAAGUGUCUUUGGUCACUCAUGUUCGAUAUUAUAUAUUUUUAGAUUACCUUUGUUCUGUUAAAAUUAAUAAAAUUUUACAUAAAAUUAGUCACAUUCUGUUUAAUUAUCCGCAACUGAAACACAUGAAAAUAGUAUUGGAAGGCUUUGUGAUAAUAUAAUAUUUUUAUACAGGCUGUUUACUAACCAUGCGACAAAAAAUCAGGGAGUUAUUUCUUGGAUCAUCACAAGAUUUUUUUGCCUUUAGAUGAUUUAAGCUUUUCGAAAAUAAAAUUAUUAAUUCAUAUUACUUGUAAAUAAUAAUAAUUAUAAAAAAUGCUGAAAAUGAUUCCCACCAGCUACAAUCUUCGCCUCAUUAACUGCAAAACUUUUUCGAUAAUAUCAGAAUUAUUUCUAUACAGUAAUGUUUCAAAUGGCCACAUAAAUAAAAAUCCAAAGGAGCUAAGUCUGGAUAACGAGCAGUUUUACUUUACUUUUUUCCCCCGUAUCUUUGAAACAAAACGUCUUUUAGAAAAUCACUAAAAUACAAAAAAAUUUUAAAAUAACCCUAGGAAUAACCUCCUGAAUUGUUGCCGUAGGUUUUGUAAACACCUAUGUAUCACUACGUUGUUUUCACUAAUUAUUUGCGCCGUUAGUUUUGCGUUUUAUCAGAUUUUAUCAUUUUGCAUUGGAAAAAAUAAGAUCUGUUUGUGGAAACUAGUUCCGUACUUUUAAGUGAGAUAGAGAAUGUUGAAAACAUUUCCUUGUUUAAUUUGCUGUCAUAAAAAGUUGUUCGAAAUAAAAGGUAUUUUUUAUAAUAACAA